Molecule: ribosomal RNA, 773 nt
Filed under: uncultured Neocallimastigales
Lineage: Eukaryota; Fungi; Neocallimastigomycota; Neocallimastigomycetes; Neocallimastigales
Description: partial large subunit ribosomal RNA
Rfam family: Eukaryotic large subunit ribosomal RNA
Source: RNAcentral
AUGUGAUCGUCUCUCGCAUAUCAAUAAGCGGAGGAAAAGAAACUAACAAGGAUUCCCCUAGUAACGGCGAGUGAAGCGGGAAGAGCUCAAAUUUGAAAUCUUAAAGGGUUUCCCUUUACGAAUUGUAGUUUAAAGAAGUGUUUUCUGUUGAGGUUUUGGUAAAAGUUCUUUGGAAUAGGACAUCAUAGAGGGUGAGAAUCCCGUAUUUGACCUUUACUUUCAACUUUGUGAUACACUUUCAAAGAGUCGGAUUGUUUGGGAAUGCAGUCCAAAAUGGGUGGUAAAUUUCAUCUAAAGCUAAAUAUUGGCGAGAGACCGAUAGCGAACAAGUACCGUGAGGGAAAGAUGAAAAGAACUUUGAAAAGAGAGUUAAACAGUACGUGAAAUUGUCAAAAGGGAAGCGUUUGACACCAGUGUUGUUUUUCUGAAAAUCAAUUAAAGAACUGUUUAUGCUAAGCUGUUUAGACUUUAUCAGCUAUCUGUUUAGUUUUGAGCUUUUCUUUAAUGCACUUUUCAGUUAACAAGUCAACAUCAAUUUCUUUUGCUGUAAAAAAGCUUGAGGAAGGUGGCUUGAGAUUCGUCUUAAGUGUUUAUAGCCUCUUGCCUAUGCAGUCGGAGAGAUUGAGGUCUGCAGCGUAGAUCCUUCGGGGCUAAAUGCAUUUGUGCUAAGUUAUAGCAUUUUAUAGACAACUUGUUGACUAUGAUUUGUCUUGUAGCUUACUCGCUUAUGUUAUUUUACCUACGCUUAGGAUGUUGACACACGCGCGUGCUCG